GUAAGGGCUCUUAGCGGAGUCGCCCUGAGAAGGAAUCUGAGACACUAUUCCUAGCUCUACGGAGUGCAGCAGGUACGAAUUUUUUGCAAUACACGAAAGUGUGACAGAGCAAGCCAAAGUGCUUUCCGCACAGGAAAGCUUUUCAUUGCUGUAAAAAGGCAGUGGAAUAAGGACUGGGUAAGACUGGUGCCAGCCGCCGCGGUAAUCCCAGCAGUCCAAGUUGCAGCCAACUUUAUUGAGUCUAAAACAUCCGUAGCUUGUUUGAUAAGUUCCUUGUGAAAUCUUAUAUCUCAAGUAUAAGGCGAGCAAGGAAUACUAUCAGACUAGAGACCGGUAGAUGUAAAGAGUACACUUGAGGUAGUGGUAAAAUAUGUUAAUCUCAGGUGGACUAACAAUGAGCGAAGGCACUUUACAAGGACGGAUCUGACAGUGAGGGAUGAAGGCUAGGGGCGCAAAACGGAUUAGAUACCCGUGUAGUCCUAGCAGUAAACACUGCUCACUAAACAUCGGUCUCUCUUCGGGAGAAAUCGGUGCUGAAGCGAAGGCGAAGAGUGAGCUACCUGGGAAGUAUAGUCGCAAGAUCGAAACU
Molecule: ribosomal RNA, 589 nt
Filed under: uncultured archaeon
Lineage: Archaea
Description: bacterial SSU rRNA
Rfam family: Archaeal small subunit ribosomal RNA
Source: RNAcentral